This 100-nucleotide ribosomal RNA is filed under the name Gopherus agassizii (Agassiz's desert tortoise). Lineage: Eukaryota; Metazoa; Chordata; Testudines; Testudinidae. The record is from RNAcentral.
UUCUGCCAGCACAUGCCUGGGAUCUCACCAGCUAAGCAGGGUAGAGCCAGGUCAUUACUUGGGUGAGAGAUCUCCUGGGGGCUGCAGGGAGUGGCGCUCU